UACGUAGGCAGCGAGCGUUGUUCGGAGUUACUGGGCGUAAAGCGUGCGUAGGCGGCGGCCCAAGUCUGGUGUGAAAUCUCCCGGCUUAACCGGGAGGGUGCGCUAGAAACUGGGUUGCUGGAGUACCGGAGAGGCAGGCGGAAUUCCUGGUGUAGCGGUGAAAUGCGCAGAUAUCAGGAGGAACACCGGUGGCGAAGGCGGGUCUCUGGGCCGAUACUGACGCUGAGGCGCGAAAGCUAGGGGAGCAAACGGG
This 253-nucleotide ribosomal RNA is filed under the name uncultured bacterium. Its description in RNAcentral is "partial 16S ribosomal RNA". It matches the Rfam family "Bacterial small subunit ribosomal RNA", at positions 524 to 776 of the family's 1533-position model. The record is from RNAcentral.